GAACUUCCCCAAGUUAUUUUGGUGAAAAUUAAAAGACUGCGCUCUGUUUUGGCGGUAAAUUGAAAAAGAAAAUUAAAACAGGGCACAACCUGUAUAAGUUAUCGCAAAGUUAAGUACAUUAGCAAUAAAAAAAAUUAUUGUUGCCAAAUAUUCUACAAGAUAGCAAUAAAUUAAUUAAAUUGUUGCAAUUUAUUUAAAUUAGGCAACAAUAUUAUGGUUGUUGCAAAAAUAUUGUUGCAAUUUUUCUUAUAUUUGAGAUUUAUUAUAUUAAAAAUAGAAUAUAACAACAAUAUCAAAAUAUAUGGCAACAAUAAAAAUAUUGUGGUUAAAAAUUUCAAGAAAUACCAACAAUCAAAUCAAGUUGUUGCAAUUUAUUGUUAUAAGGCAACAACAAUAUAGUUAUUGCUAAAAAGUUGUUGCUAAAUCCAUACUUUCUUGUAGUCAGUAAGAAUUUGUUUUUUUUUUACGAAUUUGAUAUCGAUAAAUCUCCUCUCAUCUGUUUUUUUCAUUUAAUUUAUUUCUUGUUGUUUUCUAAUUUAAUUAAAAAAGAUUUCCUUGAUAAAUCUAAUUUCAUUUACUUUUUUUUCUUUUUUAUUUGUUUGUUUAUAUACAAUAAAAAAUACAUAGCAAAUAUUCAUUCACUUAAAGUAUAACUUGU
Molecule: long non-coding RNA, 658 nt
Filed under: Solanum tuberosum (potato)
Lineage: Eukaryota; Viridiplantae; Streptophyta; Magnoliopsida; Solanales; Solanaceae
Description: long non-coding RNA (STUB_LNC004865)
Source: RNAcentral